GACUCUCUCUAUUUGUCCAUAAAACAGUUAUCCGUGCAUCUCUAUGUGCUUCAGUAACUCUUUGUGACUGUCUUUGCUCUGCCUCCUGUGUCUUCUUUAAGUAGAUUAAAAAAAUCUGUGUUCUUGAUUUUUUUUUCUUGUUGAUUGCAACAGCAAUUUGUUGCCAUAUCUCUUGUUCUAAGGUUGAAAAGGAAUAAAAAAUUACAACUAAACUGAUCCUGGUUACUGUCCUUCCCGUUGUCGACGAGAUCAUUGAAGACCUAAUAAAAAAAAUAGAUUGUUAGACUUCAGUUACGUUUUCGAGUGUGACAUAAGGUUUUGAGAUUCUAGGAUGAGGCUGAGCUGUUGAAAAACAAAAAUACAACGGAAAUCCGUUGAUGGUGCUUCAUGAAAAGGGGAAGAGUUCUACCGAGUAUCUUACAUAGUGGCUGAGCAGUGUGGACAAAGCAAGGAACUGUUGGAAGGCAAAAAAACAAGCCAACAAUGUCAUUUCAUUGUCCCAAUGUGAAGACUCGCUACCAGCUGUGCUAGAAAGCAAAGAAUAAAGCACAACUGGUAAGCUUUGGAAUGAGGGUGAAUUGGAUUCCAUUUCCUACCCUCAAUCUCCAAAGCAGAAAGUUGCCUCCUCUAUAUAUGGCCAUGAGGCCUUGCCUUCCAGGUUAUGAUCAUAUGGCCUUGCUUUUAAAUGUUACAAUUUUGAAGGAAAAAAUAGAUUACCGUGGCAUGGUUGGUGUGGGUAAGAUUAUUAUUAUAUAUAUGAUGGGCAAAUAAGUAAAACAGUAGCCCAUCUAUUUUUGUAAGCAGCCCCUCUAAUUUUGGGAGCUUUAUCCAUCUCAACUACUUUAUUGCUAAGCUGGAUUGCUUUCUUGCUUUCCUGGAAGAAAGCAAGAAAGCAAUCCAGCGUAGUUGGAAGGAUGGAUAUUAUUUAUAGAAUAUGUGCACCCAAAAGUUUGCACCUUGGAGUUAGGGAAGUUUGUUGGAAAUAUUUGAAACUUCAAGUUUUAAGGGGUUGGACGUCUUGCUUUGUGGUUUGUUUGGACAAUCUAAUAUGCACGACGUUAUUUGAGAUAUUGCACCUUCUAAUGCUUCUGAAUAAGUUAUUCUUUGACUUACGGUGAUGUCCAUUGAGCAUUCUUGAAAUGGAAAUUGCAAACAUAUUGCUUUGCUGUCUUUUUGGACAAUCUAAUAUUUACUGUUUGUUGUAUCAAGAUAAUGACAUGGAUGGAUUUGUGAAAAUGCAUGAUAUUGUUCAAGAUACUUCUCUUUUUAUUACAUCCAGAUGGAUAUUCAAAAUGAAAAUGUCUUGCUUUGUAGAUUGUUUGGAUAAUUUAAUUUUCAAAAUGUUUGUUGCAAUUCAGUAACAUUGAUGGAUUUGUGAAAAUGUACGACUUUUGGUAUAUUGAUAUUGGUCUUCCUGUUA
This 1420-nucleotide unclassified non-coding RNA is filed under the name Hevea brasiliensis (rubber tree). The record is from RNAcentral. Lineage: Eukaryota; Viridiplantae; Streptophyta; Magnoliopsida; Malpighiales; Euphorbiaceae.